GUUGGUUCGGGUUCUCAGUAGCGAGACCUGCGAAUUGUCUCUGUUGCACUAGAUGCAACAGGGAGGGUUUAAGUUCGAAAUUAUUAGUUGGGAUGGUUGGGUUUACUAUACUAGAACCAGGUUCUUCAUUGGAUGGUUGGGCAAAAUCCUUAAGAGGUCUUUGGUUUUGAUCUUCGGCCAUAGCUCUCCUAAUUCUAUGGAAAAAUAAACGUGCGCGAG
This 219-nucleotide long non-coding RNA is filed under the name Lathyrus oleraceus (garden pea). Its description in RNAcentral is "Pisum sativum (pea) long non-coding RNA (PSAT_LNC002006)". The record is from RNAcentral. Lineage: Eukaryota; Viridiplantae; Streptophyta; Magnoliopsida; Fabales; Fabaceae.